UUAAGCGACUAAGCGUACACGGUGGAUGCCCUGGCAGUCAGAGGCGAUGAAGGACGUGCUAAUCUGCGAUAAGCGUCGGUAAGGUGAUAUGAACCGUUAUAACCGGCGAUUUCCGAAUGGGGAAACCCAGUGUGAUUCGUCACACUAUCAUUAACUGAAUCCAUAGGUUAAUGAGGCGAACCGGGGGAACUGAAACAUCUAAGUACCCCGAGGAAAAGAAAUCAACCGAGAUUCCCCCAGUAGCGGCGAGCGAACGGGGAGCAGCCCAGAGCCUGAAUCAGUGUGUGUGUUAGUGGAAGCGUCUGGAAAGGCGUGCGAUACAGGGUGACAGCCCCGUACACAAAAAUGCACAUAUUGUGAGCUCGAUGAGUAGGGCGGGACACGUGGUAUCCUGUCUGAAUAUGGGGGGACCAUCCUCCAAGGCUAAAUACUCCUGACUGACCGAUAGUGAACCAGUACCGUGAGGGAAAGGCGAAAAGAACCCCGGCGAGGGGAGUGAAAAAGAACCUGAAACCGUGUACGUACAAGCAGUGGGAGCACGCUUAGGCGUGUGACUGCGUACCUUUUGUAUAAUGGGUCAGCGACUUAUAUUCUGUAGCAAGGUUAACCGAAUAGGGGAGCCGAAGGGAAACCGAGUCUUAACUGGGCGUUAAGUUGCAGGGUAUAGACCCGAAACCCGGUGAUCUAGCCAUGGGCAGGUUGAAGGUUGGGUAACACUAACUGGAGGACCGAACCGACUAAUGUUGAAAAAUUAGCGGAUGACUUGUGGCUGGGGGUGAAAGGCCAAUCAAACCGGGAGAUAGCUGGUUCUCCCCGAAAGCUAUUUAGGUAGCGCCUCGUGAAUUCAUCUCCGGGGGUAGAGCACUGUUUCGGCAAGGGGGUCAUCCCGACUUACCAACCCGAUGCAAACUGCGAAUACCGGAGAAUGUUAUCACGGGAGACACACGGCGGGUGCUAACGUCCGUCGUGAAGAGGGAAACAACCCAGACCGCCAGCUAAGGUCCCAAAGUCAUGGUUAAGUGGGAAACGAUGUGGGAAGGCCCAGACAGCCAGGAUGUUGGCUUAGAAGCAGCCAUCAUUUAAAGAAAGCGUAAUAGCUCACUGGUCGAGUCGGCCUGCGCGGAAGAUGUAACGGGGCUAAACCAUGCACCGAAGCUGCGGCAGCGACGCUUAUGCGUUGUUGGGUAGGGGAGCGUUCUGUAAGCCUGCGAAGGUGUGCUGUGAGGCAUGCUGGAGGUAUCAGAAGUGCGAAUGCUGACAUAAGUAACGAUAAAGCGGGUGAAAAGCCCGCUCGCCGGAAGACCAAGGGUUCCUGUCCAACGUUAAUCGGGGCAGGGUGAGUCGACCCCUAAGGCGAGGCCGAAAGGCGUAGUCGAUGGGAAACAGGUUAAUAUUCCUGUACUUGGUGUUACUGCGAAGGGGGGACGGAGAAGGCUAUGUUGGCCGGGCGACGGUUGUCCCGGUUUAAGCGUGUAGGCUGGUUUUCCAGGCAAAUCCGGAAAACUAAGGCUGAGGCGUGAUGACGAGGCACUACGGUGCUGAAGCAACAAAUGCCCUGCUUCCAGGAAAAGCCUCUAAGCAUCAGGUAACAUCAAAUCGUACCCCAAACCGACACAGGUGGUCAGGUAGAGAAUACCAAGGCGCUUGAGAGAACUCGGGUGAAGGAACUAGGCAAAAUGGUGCCGUAACUUCGGGAGAAGGCACGCUGAUAUGUAGGUGAAGUCCCUCGCGGAUGGAGCUGAAAUCAGUCGAAGAUACCAGCUGGCUGCAACUGUUUAUUAAAAACACAGCACUGUGCAAACACGAAAGUGGACGUAUACGGUGUGACGCCUGCCCGGUGCCGGAAGGUUAAUUGAUGGGGUUAGCGCAAGCGAAGCUCUUGAUCGAAGCCCCGGUAAACGGCGGCCGUAACUAUAACGGUCCUAAGGUAGCGAAAUUCCUUGUCGGGUAAGUUCCGACCUGCACGAAUGGCGUAAUGAUGGCCAGGCUGUCUCCACCCGAGACUCAGUGAAAUUGAACUCGCUGUGAAGAUGCAGUGUACCCGCGGCAAGACGGAAAGACCCCGUGAACCUUUACUAUAGCUUGACACUGAACAUUGAGCCUUGAUGUGUAGGAUAGGUGGGAGGCUUUGAAGUGUGGACGCCAGUCUGCAUGGAGCCGACCUUGAAAUACCACCCUUUAAUGUUUGAUGUUCUAACGUUGACCCGUAAUCCGGGUUGCGGACAGUGUCUGGUGGGUAGUUUGACUGGGGCGGUCUCCUCCUAAAGAGUAACGGAGGAGCACGAAGGUUGGCUAAUCCUGGUCGGACAUCAGGAGGUUAGUGCAAUGGCAUAAGCCAGCUUGACUGCGAGCGUGACGGCGCGAGCAGGUGCGAAAGCAGGUCAUAGUGAUCCGGUGGUUCUGAAUGGAAGGGCCAUCGCUCAACGGAUAAAAGGUACUCCGGGGAUAACAGGCUGAUACCGCCCAAGAGUUCAUAUCGACGGCGGUGUUUGGCACCUCGAUGUCGGCUCAUCACAUCCUGGGGCUGAAGUAGGUCCCAAGGGUAUGGCUGUUCGCCAUUUAAAGUGGUACGCGAGCUGGGUUUAGAACGUCGUGAGACAGUUCGGUCCCUAUCUGCCGUGGGCGCUGGAGAACUGAGGGGGGCUGCUCCUAGUACGAGAGGACCGGAGUGGACGCAUCACUGGUGUUCGGGUUGUCAUGCCAAUGGCACUGCCCGGUAGCUAAAUGCGGAAGAGAUAAGUGCUGAAAGCAUCUAAGCACGAAACUUGCCCCGAGAUGAGUUCUCCCUGACUCCUUGAGAGUCCUGAAGGAACGUUGAAGACGACGACGUUGAUAGGCCGGGUGUGUAAGCGCAGCGAUGCGUUGAGCUAACCGGUACUAAUGAACCGUGAGGCUUAACCU
Molecule: ribosomal RNA, 2901 nt
Filed under: Escherichia coli
Lineage: Bacteria; Pseudomonadati; Pseudomonadota; Gammaproteobacteria; Enterobacterales; Enterobacteriaceae
Description: 23S ribosomal RNA
Rfam family: Bacterial large subunit ribosomal RNA
Source: RNAcentral